RNAcentral lists this ribosomal RNA (253 nucleotides) under uncultured bacterium. Its description in RNAcentral is "partial 16S ribosomal RNA". It matches the Rfam family "Bacterial small subunit ribosomal RNA", at positions 524 to 777 of the family's 1533-position model. The record is from RNAcentral.
UACGAAGGGGGCUAGCGUUGUUCGGAAUUACUGGGCGUAAAGCGCGUGUAGGCGGGUCUUUAAGUCAGGGGUGAAAUGCCAGGGCUCAACCUUGGAACUGCCUUUGAUACUGGAGACCUUGAGUCCGGGAGAGGUGAGUGGAAUUGCGAGUGUAGAGGUGAAAUUCGUAGAUAUCGCAAGAACACCAGUGGCGAAGGCGGCUCACUGGCCCGGUACUGACGCUGAGGUGCGAAAGCGUGGGGAGCAAACAGGG